Molecule: signal recognition particle RNA, 263 nt
Filed under: Eubacteriales bacterium
Lineage: Bacteria; Bacillati; Bacillota; Clostridia; Eubacteriales
Description: signal recognition particle sRNA large type
Rfam family: Bacterial large signal recognition particle RNA
About the family: The signal recognition particle (SRP) is a universally conserved ribonucleoprotein involved in the co-translational targeting of proteins to membranes.
Source: RNAcentral
CCGUGCAGCCGGGGAGUUAGCGGUGCCCUGUACCUGCAAUCCGCUAUAGCAGGGGUGAUAUUUUGCCCCGGGUACCGUCUUGCAGGGCAGUCCUGUCAAGGCGGAUGUUGAAAUCCGGGUCUUACGCAACAAAAAUCUAUGAAUCGUGUCAGGUUAGGAAUAAAGCAGCACUAAGUAGACGCUUUUGUGUGCCGUGAGGUAGCCUGGGUGGAGUUCGCGUGACAGAAAACGACUGUGAGCGGUAUUCAAAGCAAAAUGCACGG